CUGAAGCUAGUGAGUCGCGGCGCCGCGCACUGGUGGUUGGGUCAGUGCCGCGCGCCGCUCGGUCGUUACCGCGAGGCGCUGGUGGCCUUCAGGCUGGGCGGCGCGGGUCAGCCCUGGUUCGCCGGCUUCUAGGUCUUUGAACAGCCGCGAUGUCGAUCUUCACCCCCACCAACCAGAUCCGCCUAACCAAUGUGGCCGUGGUACGGAUGAAGCGCGCCGGGAAGCGCUUCGAAAUCGCCUGCUACAAAAACAAGGUCGUCGGCUGGCGGAGCGGCGUGGAAAAAGACCUCGAUGAAGUUCUGCAGACCCACUCAGUGUUUGUAAAUGUUUCUAAAGGUCAGGUUGCCAAAAAGGAAGAUCUCAUCAGUGCGUUUGGAACAGAUGACCAAACUGAAAUCUAUUUUGACUAAAGGAGAAGUUCAAGUAUCAGAUAAAGAAAGACACACACAACUGGAGCAGAUGUUUAGGGACAUUGCAACUAUUGUGGCAGACAAAUGUGUGAAUCCUGAAACAAAGAGACCAUACACCGUGAUCCUUAUUGAGAGAGCCAUGAAGGACAUCCACUAUUCGGUGAAAACCAACAAGAGUACAAAACAGCAGGCUUUGGAAGUGAUAAAGCAGUUAAAAGAGAAAAUGAAGAUAGAACGUGCUCACAUGAGGCUUCGGUUCAUCCUUCCAGUCAAUGAAGGCAAGAAGCUGAAAGAAAAGCUCAAGCCACUGAUCAAGGUCAUAGAAAGUGAAGAUUAUGGCCAACAGUUAGAAAUCGUAAGAGUCAAAUAUUUUCUUUGCUUCAUGUUACCUAAAUAUUGUAUUCUCUAGUAAUAAAUUUGUAGCAAACAUU
This 841-nucleotide small RNA is filed under the name Pan troglodytes (chimpanzee). RNAcentral describes it as "retained intron". Lineage: Eukaryota; Metazoa; Chordata; Mammalia; Primates; Hominidae. The record is from RNAcentral.